This 1119-nucleotide long non-coding RNA is filed under the name Bos indicus x Bos taurus (hybrid cattle). RNAcentral describes it as "lncRNA (ENSBIXG00000001835.1)". The record is from RNAcentral. Lineage: Eukaryota; Metazoa; Chordata; Mammalia; Artiodactyla; Bovidae.
AAAUUGGGUUAUUGGAUGAAAGAGGUGGGGUUUGAACUGGACCUUGUCAAUGGAGAUGAUUUGUUAGUGGUCAUCCUAACCGGAUGAUUGCCUAAACAAACACACAGAGCUGAAUGACUAUGCAUUUGUCAAAUUCUAACCUCAGAGGCUGCCUACCUACAUCAUCUGUGGGGGUGGUGGCGGUGGUAGUGAUGGUAGUGGCACAUAUUAAAGCUACAAAACAGUGGACUAGAAGGCCAAGCACAUUUCCAGGGAUGGAGGGGAGGCAAGGAAAUGGACAAAUAUGCCAUAGGCCAGAAACCAGAAACACGCUUGUUAGGAAGAAGCUCUGUACAAGGACAUUCAGCCCUUCUAUCAGCAGACAGGUUGGCAGGAAAGAACAUGUGGAGUGGAGAGAAAGUUCCAGGUGUUACCUAUAUGUUCCUGUGAGGUCUCCCCAGUGAACUCAGCAGCAAUUCCAUGUAUGGAAGGAAGAUAGAUAAAGAGGCAGCAUCAAGUUCCUGGCAGGCUGGCCUGGAAUGAAGGAAGCAAUUACCUCAUGACAUUUGCCACACCAUAUGGCAGGUGGCGAUAUCUCAGGAUGUCAUCCAACGGCUCCUCCACACAGGAACUCUUCUUGUGAGUGACACUCGAGACAUGAAGCUUGUGAAGAAGUUCAAAUUCUCACAGAUGAUAUUAUCCAGAGAAAAUGGCAAGACUACAACCUGAGAACUUUGCAAGAGCCAAGCCAAGAAAGAAAUGCUGUACACAGGAAGAAGGAACUGGAAGAAGUUAGAGGCCCAACCAAAGCCAUAGACUAUGGACAAUCGCUCCAUAUUUACUUAUCUCAGAUUGAAGUAGCUAAGGAUGUAAGACCCAGGUCAGAUUGGUGCUUGAUAUUACUUCUGUCUCUGUUAUUAUUUUCAUCACAUUAAGCAUGAUUAUUCUUAUCAUGAACUUAUUAUAUGUCAGGUACUAUGCUUUCUGCUUUUCCUAGUUUAGGAUGUUUAAUGGACAUUUGCUGAAUGAAGGGAUGAGUUAAUUCUUCCAGCCAUCCUGCAGGGAUUACAGAUGGGAAGUUAAGCAUCUUGCUCAAGCUGCCACUGCAAAUAGGCCAAAAAUAAAAAAUAAAAAUCUGCC